RNAcentral lists this ribosomal RNA (425 nucleotides) under uncultured bacterium. Its description in RNAcentral is "partial 16S ribosomal RNA". It matches the Rfam family "Bacterial small subunit ribosomal RNA", at positions 354 to 796 of the family's 1533-position model. The record is from RNAcentral.
GUGGGGAAUCUUAGACAAUGGGGGAAACCCUGAUCUAGCCAUGCCGCGUGAGCGAUGAAGGCCUUAGGGUUGUAAAGCUCUUUCAGCUGGGAAGAUAAUGACGGUACCAGCAGAAGAAGCCCCGGCUAACUCCGUGCCAGCAGCCGCGGUAAUACGGAGGGGGCUAGCGUUGUUCGGAAUUACUGGGCGUAAAGCGCGCGUAGGCGGACCAGAAAGUUGGAGGUGAAAUCCCAGGGCUCAACCUUGGAACUGCCUUCAAAACUGCUGGUCUGGAGUUCGAGAGAGGUGAGUGGAAUUCCGAGUGUAGAGGUGAAAUUCGUAGAUAUUCGGAGGAACACCAGUGGCGAAGGCGGCUCACUGGCUCGAUACUGACGCUGAGGUGCGAAAGCGUGGGGAGCAAACAGGAUUAGAUACCCGAGUAGUCC